RNAcentral lists this ribosomal RNA (355 nucleotides) under uncultured Halomonas sp. RNAcentral describes it as "bacterial SSU rRNA". It matches the Rfam family "Bacterial small subunit ribosomal RNA", at positions 138 to 488 of the family's 1533-position model. The record is from RNAcentral. Lineage: Bacteria; Pseudomonadati; Pseudomonadota; Gammaproteobacteria; Oceanospirillales; Halomonadaceae.
GGGGGAUAACCUGGGGAAACCCAGGCUAAUACCGCAUACGUCCUACGGGAGAAAGCGGGGGAUCUUCGGACCUUGCGCUAUCGGAUGAGCCUAUGUCGGAUUAGCUUGUUGGUGAGGUAAUGGCUCACCAAGGCGACGAUCCGUAGCUGGUCUGAGAGGAUGAUCAGCCACAUCGGGACUGAGACACGGCCCGAACUCCUACGGGAGGCAGCAGUGGGGAAUAUUGGACAAUGGGCGAAAGCCUGAUCCAGCCAUGCCGCGUGUGUGAAGAAGGCUUUCGGGUUGUAAAGCACUUUCAGUGAGGAAGAAGGCCUUGGGGCUAAUACCCCCGAGGAAGGACAUCACCCACAGCGGG